CGACGUGAGGAACCUGCCUUUCAGAGGGGGACAACAGUUGGAAACGACUGCUAAUACCGCAUGAUGUAUCGGAGUCGCAUGGCACUGAUACCAAAGAUUUAUCGCUGAAAGAUGGCCUCGCGUCUGAUUAGCUAGUUGGUGAGGUAACGGCCCACCAAGGCGACGAUCAGUAGCCGGACUGAGAGGUUGACCGGCCACAUUGGGACUGAGAUACGGCCCAGACUCCUACGGGAGGCAGCAG
Molecule: ribosomal RNA, 241 nt
Filed under: uncultured bacterium
Lineage: Bacteria
Description: partial 16S ribosomal RNA
Rfam family: Bacterial small subunit ribosomal RNA
Source: RNAcentral